RNAcentral lists this ribosomal RNA (433 nucleotides) under uncultured bacterium. RNAcentral's name for it is "partial 16S ribosomal RNA". It matches the Rfam family "Bacterial small subunit ribosomal RNA", at positions 29 to 507 of the family's 1533-position model. The record is from RNAcentral.
AACGAACGCUGGCGGCAGGCCUAACACAUGCAAGUCGAGCGCGCCCUUCGGGGUGAGCGGCGGACGGGUGAGUAACGCGUGGGAACGUGCCCUUCUCUGCGGAAUAGCCUCGGGAAACUGAGAGUAAUACCGCAUACGCCCUUUGGGGGAAAGAUUUAUCGGAGAAGGAUCGGCCCGCGUUGGAUUAGGUAGUUGGUGGGGUAAUGGCCCACCAAGGCGACGAUGCAUAGCUGGUUGGAGAGGAUGAUCAGCCACACUGGGACUGAGACACGGCCCAGACUCCUACGGGAGGCAGCAGUGGGGAAUCUUAGACAAUGGGGGCAACCCUGAUCUAGCCAUGCCGGGUGAGUGAUGAAGGCCUUAGGGUUGUAAAGCUCUUUGAGCUGGGAAGAUAAUGACGGUACCAGCAGAAGAAGCCCCGGCUAACUCCGUG